GAUGAACGCUGGCGGCGUGCCUAAUACAUGCAAGUCGAGCGAACAGACGAGGAGCUUGCUCCUCUGACGUUAGCGGCGGACGGGUGAGUAACACGUGGAUAACCUACCUAUAAGACUGGGAUAACUUCGGGAAACCGGAGCUAAUACCGGAUAAUAUAUUGAACCGCAUGGUUCAAUAGUGAAAGACGGUUUUGCUGUCACUUAUAGAUGGAUCCGCGCCGCAUUAGCUAGUUGGUAAGGUAACGGCUUACCAAGGCAACGAUGCGUAGCCGACCUGAGAGGGUGUUCGGCCACACUGGAACUGAGACACGGUACAGACUCCUACGGGAGGCAGCAGUAGGGAAUCUUCCGCAAUGGGCGAAAGCCUGACGGAGCAACGCCGCGUGAGUGAUGAAGGUCUUCGGAUCGUAAAACUCUGUUAUUAGGGAAGAACAAAUGUGUAAGUAACUAUGCACGUCUUGACGGUACCUAAUCAGAAAGCCACGGCUAACUACGUG
RNAcentral lists this ribosomal RNA (497 nucleotides) under uncultured bacterium. Its description in RNAcentral is "partial 16S ribosomal RNA". It matches the Rfam family "Bacterial small subunit ribosomal RNA", at positions 28 to 507 of the family's 1533-position model. The record is from RNAcentral.